AAGACUGAAGUCUCAAUUUUUGCUUGUUGACACAAAAUUAUACAAAGUUCUAUACCUCAGAGGAGGAACUUGAAGAACAGUAAAGGUUUGUCAGAGAAAAAUAUCGCUCAUGAUAAUAUUCACCAAAACAAAUGGCUAAUUUUGAAGUUGAACGGCAAAAGCAGAGUAACUGGAAAGAUCGAGUCACUAAUUCCAUAGCACAUAAAUAACACUGGCCGAUUUACUUAGAAAAACGAAUAAUUCGUGUCAGACAUAUAAUGCUUCUAAUACCACUGCACUUAGGAAAAUACCAGACGCCGAACUGCCUCUUGUAUUGACAAACAAAGCUAUCACGAGGGACUGGAGACUGCUUAUGACUUCAUUACAAAUGGAAAACAAGACCCCCAAAGUUCCUCUUUUCUAAGCAGAUGUGCAUACCGAAUUAUCAACACCCGCGACAGCCCUCUCUCUAAACGAAAUUUCAAACAACUCAAGAACAACUACACUUCAAUAUUGCUGCGGUUAAUCAAGGCUACAGAAAUCAUCUACUGGAAAAUACCAGACGCCGAACUGCCUCUUGUAUUGACAAACAAAGCUAUCACGAGAGAGACUGCUUAUGACUUCAUUACAAAUGGAAAACAAGACCCCAAAGUUCCUCUUUUCAAAGCAGAUGUGCAUACCGAAUUAUCAACACCCGCGACAGCCCUCUCUCUAAACGAAAUUUCAAACAACUCAAGAACAACUACACUUCAACAUUGCUGCGGUUAAUCAAGGCUACAGAAAUCAUCUACUGACGAACACCACCGACAAAGGAUGCAGGGAAACGAAAGUGACGACAACUUGCUGGGCAUAAUAAAACGUGGUAAAUUUGAGGAAAUUGAGAGUGAAAUCAAGCCAACGGCCUUCAAAUAUUGUGAAUCCAAUUCCUUGCUAAUGGCUAUGAAGGUAAACUUUGAACUUCGUAGGCGGGCAAACCAGAAGGGACCCGAUGAAAAAAGGUUUCAUCAGUUGGCAAACUCUGUAGAGAGUUUCGCGGCCUGUUUGCUUGAUCCACUGCGAUAUGAUCAAGACAGGCGUGAAAAAUUUGGUGAUGGAUUGGAUGAGAUAUUGAAAGACGCCAUUCAGCUAAAUCAGAAAAAGGUAGGUGGAAUGAAGAAUAGAACGGCUCAACUUACAUACCCUCUUUCUUUUUUGUAUAAGAAUAUAUUUUAUAAGAAUAUCGA
Long non-coding RNA from Orbicella faveolata, 1202 nucleotides. The record is from RefSeq and is a predicted model, not a curated record. Lineage: Eukaryota; Metazoa; Cnidaria; Anthozoa; Scleractinia; Merulinidae.